This 253-nucleotide ribosomal RNA is filed under the name Faecalibacterium prausnitzii. RNAcentral describes it as "partial 16S ribosomal RNA". It matches the Rfam family "Bacterial small subunit ribosomal RNA", at positions 524 to 776 of the family's 1533-position model. Lineage: Bacteria; Bacillati; Bacillota; Clostridia; Eubacteriales; Oscillospiraceae. The record is from RNAcentral.
AACGUAGGUCACAAGCGUUGUCCGGAAUUACUGGGUGUAAAGGGAGCGCAGGCGGGCGAUCAAGUUGGAAGUGAAAUCCAUGGGCUCAACCCAUGAACUGCUUUCAAAACUGGUCGUCUUGAGUAGUGCAGAGGUAGGCGGAAUUCCCGGUGUAGCGGUGGAAUGCGUAGAUAUCGGGAGGAACACCAGUGGCGAAGGCGGCCUGCUGGGCACCAACUGACGCUGAGGCUCGAAAGUGUGGGUAGCAAACAGG